GACUGGAUAAGCUAAAUCAAGCCGUUGGGCUCAUACCCCGAAAAUGAGACUAUUCUCUCCACUCA
Molecule: transfer RNA, 65 nt
Filed under: Hemipodia simplex
Lineage: Eukaryota; Metazoa; Annelida; Polychaeta; Phyllodocida; Glyceridae
Description: tRNA-Met
Source: RNAcentral